AUAUCAAUAAGCGGAGGAAAAGAAACCAACAGGGAUUGCCUUAGUAGCGGCGAGUGAAGCGGCAAAAGCUCAAAUUUGAAAUCUGGCACCUUCGGUGUCCGAGUUGUAAUUUGAAGAUUGUAACCUUGGGGUUGGCUCUUGUCUAUGUUUCUUGGAACAGGACGUCACAGAGGGUGAGAAUCCCGUGCGAUGAGAUGCCCAAUCCUAUGUAAGGUGCUUUCGAAGAGUCGAGUUGUUUGGGAAUGCAGCUCUAAGUGGGUGGUAAAUUCCAUCUAAAGCUAAAUAUUGGCGAGAGACCGAUAGCGAACAAGUACAGUGAUGGAAAGAUGAAAAGAACUUUGAAAAGAGAGUGAAAAAGUACGUGAAAUUGUUGAAAGGGAAGGGUUUGAGAUCAGACUCGAUAUUUUGUGAGCCUUGCCUUCGUGGCGGGGUGACCCGCAGCUUAUCGGGCCAGCAUCGGUUUGGGCGGUAGGAUAAUGGCGUAGGAAUGUGACUUUGCUUCGGUGAAGUGUUAUAGCCUGCGUUGAUGCUGCCUGCCUAGACCGAGGACUGCGAUUUUAUCAAGGAUGCUGGCAUAAUGAUCCCAAACCGCCCG
Molecule: ribosomal RNA, 595 nt
Filed under: [Candida] sp. YS54
Lineage: Eukaryota; Fungi; Ascomycota; Saccharomycetes; Saccharomycetales
Also listed under: 1 other name
Description: eukaryotic LSU rRNA
Rfam family: Eukaryotic large subunit ribosomal RNA
Source: RNAcentral